This 361-nucleotide long non-coding RNA is filed under the name Fukomys damarensis (Damara mole-rat). RNAcentral's name for it is "lncRNA (ENSFDAG00000033384.1)". The record is from RNAcentral. Lineage: Eukaryota; Metazoa; Chordata; Mammalia; Rodentia; Bathyergidae.
UGCUGUCCUACUCUCUGUAGACCUCUCAGAUGGCCUGGCAUCCAAGACCCCACAGGCUCUCUUUCUAGAGACUGUUUUGUCUCUUUAGCCCCCAGCUCACUGUCACCCCCAAAUUGCCUGGGUGUCAUCAAUGGAUCUUCUAUGACUUAGGAAGAAUAUCAGCUCUGCCAAGAGGAUCUCUGCAGGCUUUGCUUCCUCCAAGGCUGACCCUGGGCUGCAUGAACACGGUCACUCCAGGACAGCUGGUUCUGAAUCAGGUCUGCCCUUGCAGCCAAGCUGGAGAAGGCCAGUUGUAAUCAGUCACAGAUGGGAAGAACGGCCAGCAUAAAGAACACAGUCCCACAGCUGCACAGAAGAACAC